CGGCAAGAGCUCAAAUUUGAAAGCUGGCCCCCUCGGGGUCCGCAUUGUAAUUUGCAGAGGAUGCUUCGGGAGUGGCCCCCAUCUAAGUGCUCUGGAACGGGCCGUCAUAGAGGGUGAGAAUCCCGUAUGGGAUGGGGUGUCCGCGACCAUGUGAAGCUCCUUCGACGAGUCGAGUUGUUUGGGAAUGCAGCUCUAAAUGGGUGGUAAAUUUCAUCUAAAGCUAAAUAUUGGCCGGAGACCGAUAGCGCACAAGUAGAGUGAUCGAAAGAUGAAAAGCACUUUGAAAAGAGAGUUAAAAAGCACGUGAAAUUGUUGAAAGGGAAGCGCUUGCGACCAGACUCGCCUACGGGGUUCAGCCGGUAUUCGUACCGGUGUACUUCCCCGUGGGCGGGCCAGCGUCGGUUUGGGCGGCCGGUCAAAGGCCCUCGGAAUGUAACGCCUCUCGGGGCGUCUUAUAGCCGAGGGUGCCAUGCGGCCAGCCCAGACCGAGGAACGCGCUUCGGCACGGACGCUGGCAUAAUGGUCGUAAGCGACCCGUCUUGAAACACGGA
Molecule: ribosomal RNA, 551 nt
Filed under: fungal sp.
Lineage: Eukaryota; Fungi
Description: partial large subunit ribosomal RNA
Rfam family: Eukaryotic large subunit ribosomal RNA
Source: RNAcentral